Oryctolagus cuniculus (rabbit) is the source of this 3605-nucleotide long non-coding RNA. RefSeq lists it as uncharacterized. The record is from RefSeq and is a predicted model, not a curated record. Lineage: Eukaryota; Metazoa; Chordata; Mammalia; Lagomorpha; Leporidae.
UUAAGCUCCCUGGCGGCUCCCAGGAGCACCCAGGGCUGGCACAGGUGUUUUAUGUGGACAUAUACGUAUCUCAGGUGCACCCCGCAGACAGGCCCAGCACCAGGCUCCCAGGAGUGUGUCACACCACUGGCAAUUUUAAGCCGCCUAACGGCAAGCUGCUGAGUCAGACCCACCUGACCUUGGCAACCCUGGCGAGCCUCCCUGUCCCCGACACGCAGCGUCCCUCUGCUCCUGCUAGGAGAGGCCCGGAGGCAGGGGACGUCAGUCGCUCUGGGCUAGAGCGGAUGUCAGCUCAGCGCCCGGCACCGCUCCGGCCCUUCCACAUCUCUGUCCCCAUGACGUAAUGCAGGAAACAUUCCCAGAGGCACUGAGCCUCCCUUCCCGGCAGGAAGCUCCAGCCCAGGCAAGGCCACGCCGCAGCACGGGGGUAGGGUGACACUUCGUCUCCACCCAGACAGGGGACAGCAGGGAGCUGGAGCCCAGCAGGCGGGAGGGAGGCACGCCGUCCUCACGGCAACCUGACGGGCGCUGGUCACGUGGGCUCACACGCCGAGCGGGCUACAGAAGGCUUCUGAGGCGCCCACCUCUCAGCACACGCCAUCAACCCGACACCCAGACUGAGAGAGCCUUCCGAGGGUCGGAGACGCCACCUGUGCUUCCCGGGCGGUUUCCACUCUCCCUCUGACCCGGGCCUCAACUGCGAAGGGAACUGCCGGGAACAAAGCUUCCUGGGCCGGGAAGCGAGGCGCGGCAGAGCAGGCGUGCACUUGCCCCCUUGUUGUCUAAGAGGUCACCCCCGGAGCUCAUGGACGGCAGGGGGCGCUGCGCUGGAUGCCCAGCCCCAGGAGUCAGGAUUAACACAAACCAGCCACACCGAGGGGCCUGGCCCGGGGCGCGGCCCAGAACCAAGGGCUGAUCUGCCAAGUUCUCAAGGCGAGGCCUCGUCAGCCUCCCGGGCCCACAGGUGUUAAGCUACGGGGAUUCUUGGCUGCAGGGAUCCGACACCCUGAUCACCACCUGGGCGUGAAGCCAUCGGGUGGACGUCAGGCCGACCGCGACGGCCGAGCGUCAUUCUCUAGAUCUAAACCCCAGAUCUCCAAGAAGCUCAAGCGACCAGAGAAGCUCCUGGCCUGAGGCUGCUCCCCGUUCUGGGUGUGCGGAGGGAGGGAGGACCACGGUGUACCCAGCAGCCGGGCGCACCUGUGCCGCUGACAGCACAGAGAGCAGUCUGGCUCCUUGAUGGCCAGAAGGGGAAGGGAGCCAGCGCCCCUCGGUGAUGAGCGCAGGAGUAGGGUGAGGCGCGACCUAAGGAAGGAGGUCUGGCUCGUGCUGCUACUUGGCGAACUACAAGGAGGACGUCACUCACGAAGACCACCUGCCGGUGAGCGCCCUCCUAACAGACAAAUGCACGGAGACAGAGUGGCGCAGGACGGGUAGAGAACAGGAGGCGACAGCUCCUGGGCCUGGGCUUCUUCCUGGGGAGACGAGUGUGCUAGCACAGACCCUGGGAGACGAGUGUGUGAGCACAGACCCUGGGAGAUGAGUGUGUGCUCACAGACCCUGGGAGACCAGUGUGUGCUCACACAGACCCUGAGAGAUGAGUGUGUGCUCACAGACCCUGGGAGACCAGUGUGUGCUCACAGACCCCGGGAGACGAGUGUGUGCUCACAGACCCCGGGAGACGAGUGUGUGCUCACACAGACCCUGGGAGACGAGUGUGUGCUCACACAGACCCUGGGAGACCAGUGUGUGCUCACACAGACCCUGGGAGACCAGUGUGUGCUCACAGACCCUGUGAGACCAGUGUGUGCUCACACAGACCCUGGGAGACCAGUGUGUGCUCACACAGACCCUGGGAGACCAGUGUGUGCUCACAGACCCUGGGAGACCAGUGUGUGCUCAUGCAGACCCUGGUGAGGGGCACAGCACUCUGGGAGUGCACCAAACCCACAAAAUUUUAUGGCAUGUAAAUUAGAUAUCAAUAAAGUUGUCUUUUAAAAAAUAUAUAUGGCAAAAGCCAAAGACCAAAGUCCAGAAACCAAAACCUCACGGGAGACUGGAAGGGGAACCAAGGGUGUCAGGGUUCUGAGUUCUGCAACGUGGUCCCAGCCACCCUGCGGACGGCCUGGAUGCAGGGCCACCCCCGUGGCGACUGACCUCAGCCCCCGGGCUGUCUGCUCUAGAAGGAAGCAGGGCUCCUGGAGGAAUGGCUGAUGCCAAAAAGCGAAGGAGUCCCCAAAACAAACAGAAUGAGGGCGUGUCACAGGGCACGGGGCCCCCGAAGUGUGUGACUGGCCAAAUCCAGGACAAGGCAAGCAUUCAAAUGAUGGAGAAUGGGGGUGAGCUGUGUCUCCCCAAAACAACGGAAGCCGCAGGUGUACACGGAAGAUGGAUGGACGGACGAAGGCAGCCCUACCCCGCAGGAGAACGGCAACCUACAAGUGUGGGGGAGUGGGGGGCCGAGGGAUGGCGACACAGAUGGGCUGUGAGGAGCGUGGACAGCACACACUAACUCGGGCUGGGGAGCAGAGCAGCGCAUCCACGUGGUCAGACAGCGUCUGCGGCAAAGGACCAGAGGAUGGGAGUGCCCGUGCCUGCGUGUGCUUCCCCUCUCUCCCUGUAAACCUCUCACAUACAUAACCAAGUCAGCAGGAAAGUGUCUGCCCACUCGGUGCUCGCACGGGGGGGAAUCCAGACAGCCGCUUCCUGACCAUCAGAGUCAACUCCAGCGACCCAGGGCCUCGCCUGCAGGCCCUGGAAGGGCAGGAGCAGGCCCCAGCUGGUUCUGUGGCGAGCGCUCCCUGAGUCCCGUGGGUGAGCCGGGGUGGGGGUGGGGGGUCCUGUUGCAGACACAAAUGGCCCCGAGUUCUGCACCAGUGUCUGUGACACGGAAGACAGAGGAAGGCGGGGACCUGCUCCAGACGGCAGGAUGCCACGGCGCCCCUAGAGAAUGCCAGGGCGGCCCUGGCCUGCAGCCGUGGCAGAGGGCAGGGCCCACGGAGGCCUGUGUCUGGGGUCCCAUCACACCGUGAAGGCAGGCCAGCUAGCCAAAAAGAACUCUAACCAAUGGAGAAUCCCAAUUCUGACGACACCGCUGUGGUGACAGAGAACAGCCGUGGCCUCCGGAAAUACACAAGGACAUGGCGGAGCCACCACCUCCCAGAUGAGCCAGGAGAAUUAACACAGGCUGCUGGUCAGAGGGUCACAAGAGACAGUGAUGGUCACUGGUUUAAAAGCGGUGAGUCUGGGGCCGGCGCUGUAGCACAGCGGGUUAACGCCCUGGCCUGAAGCGCCGGCCUCCUGUAUGGGCGCCGGUUCUAGUCCUGGCUGUUCUACUUCUGAUCCAGCUCUCUGCGGUGGCCUGGAAAAGCAGUGGAAGAUGGCCCAAGUCCUUGGGCCCCUGCACCCACAUGGGAGACCUAGAAGAAGCUCCUGGCUCCUGGUUUUGGAUCCAUGCAGCUCCAGCUGUUGCAGCCAUCUGAGGAGUGAACCAGUGGAUGGAAGACCUCUCUCUCUGUCUCUACCUCUCUCUGUAACUCUGUCUUUCAAACAAAUAAAAUAAAUCUUAAAAAAAAAAAAAAGCGGUGAGUCUGAGUAAGGAGUAG